GGGCUCUCUUCUAAACACGACCACACCAGCACUCGGCUCCUCCUCCCUCACUCUCCGUCUCCUAAAGUCUCCAACCACCGUAACGGCAUUGGGCUUUGGAGUAGUGUAGUCUCUGAUUGUAUUUAUGUGCUACAUUGGUGGUGGGUUUAUAUUUAUGUGCUACGUUGGUGGUGGGUUUAUCAAAGGCAACAUCACUUCUCCACUUAUUCAUCGUUUACUCUCAUUUUCAAUUAGUAAUCGAUUGAAGGAUUCAGUUGUUGAGAUCCAAAAGAAUCUGAGAGGAUUUUAAUUUACGCCAGCGACAAAUUCAGAGACGGAGGAUUUGCUGGGAUGUAAAGAAGGUGAGGUAGAGGAGAAGAGAAGAGAGAACGCCGGAGGGAGUGAUAUUGGUUGUGAAUCUAUCUGGCGGCGAUGAAGUAGGGGACAGAGAUGAUUGCGAUCGUGGCAGUAAAUUGUCAAGAGUAAUACUCAACAGAUUUUGCCAUGUCUGCACCUGCUAAGAAAAAGUUACACAGAAGCUAAGGAGAAAGAUCUAAUGCUUGUGUGCUUGCUAAAUGAUUGCCCUCAAGUUGGUUGCGGCGGCAGAAGAAGAUUAAAGAUAUUUCUUGAGAAGUUUAAUAUGAAUUCACC
This is a long non-coding RNA of Brassica oleracea var. oleracea, 630 nucleotides long. RefSeq lists it as uncharacterized. The record is from RefSeq and is a predicted model, not a curated record. NCBI's taxonomy places the organism in Eukaryota, Viridiplantae, Streptophyta, Magnoliopsida, Brassicales, Brassicaceae. The transcript has 3 exons.